This 254-nucleotide ribosomal RNA is filed under the name uncultured bacterium. RNAcentral describes it as "partial 16S ribosomal RNA". It matches the Rfam family "Bacterial small subunit ribosomal RNA", at positions 524 to 776 of the family's 1533-position model. The record is from RNAcentral.
UACGGAGGGUGCGAGCGUUGUCCGGAAUCACUGGGCGUAAAGGGCGCGUAGGCGGCCCGCGCAAGCGUGCGGUGAAAGCCCGGGGCUCAACCCCGGGUCGGCCGUGCGGACUGCGGGGCUGGAGCACUGUAGGGGCAGAUGGAAUUCCGGGUGUAGCGGUGGAAUGCGUAGAGAUCCGGAAGAACACCGGUGGCGAAGGCGGUCUGCUGGGCAGUAGCUGACGCUGAGGCGCGACAGCGUGGGGAGCAAACAGG